Molecule: ribosomal RNA, 271 nt
Filed under: uncultured bacterium
Lineage: Bacteria
Description: partial 16S ribosomal RNA
Rfam family: Bacterial small subunit ribosomal RNA
Source: RNAcentral
UGGCUGUAACAAAGGGAAGCGAAGCCGCGAGGUGGAGNAAAACCCAAAAAAAGACAGUCUCAGUUCGGAUUGAAGGCUGAAAUUCGCCUUCAUGAAGCCGGAAUUGCUAGUAAUGGCAGGUCAGCAUACUGCCGUGAAUACGUUCCCGGGCCUUGUACACACCGCCCGUCACACCAUGGGAGCCGGUAAUACCCGAAGUCAGUAGUCCAACCUCGUGAGGACGCUGCCGAAGGUAGGAUUGGCGACUGGGGUGAAGUCGUAACAAGGUACC